CUGGCCAGCUGCUUCCUCUACGCCUCCUCCAGAAGCCAACCGACAUCUCCAUGACAGGGCUGCCGGUUUAUCCUGGCGCAGAUGACUGAGGAGAGACCAAGGCAGAUGCUGCCUCAAUGAACUAGCCUUCAAAGCAAAUACUAUUUGUGAGGAACAUUAAAGGAUGGACGAUGUCACAGAGAACAAUUCCUUUGGGAGCAUGGAACCUUCAAGUAUUAAAACCAAGGAAUUACCACCUAUGAUUUUCUAUAUUUCACGGGAGGACAACUGCGAACGUGGGGAUAGAGCUAUGUGACCUGACAUGGCAGCUCCACCCUGUAUCUCUCUGGGGCAGUCACAGUGGUCUGCAAGUACGUAAAGAGGACUUUGCUUCCGUCAGUUUACUGCAUGAUAGCUGCUGCAGAGCCCCGAGAAGAGCACUACGGUGUGGUUGGGAUUUGCUGUUGUUCUCUCUCUCCCUCCCUCCCUCCCUCGUUCUCCUUCCCUCUCGAUAGGUUCUCAGAAAUCCAGGCUGGUCUGGGACUGACCUUGAACUCUUGAUCCUCCUGCCUCCACCUCCAAACUUCGGGAUUCUAGGUAUGUGCCCUGUGCCUGGCUUAGCAGUUUAUCUUCUUUAAAGUUAAAAAAAAAAAAAAGUCACAAGACUGGAAACUUUAUGAAGGUUCUGCCCAGAAUUAGAUAAUCAUUUACUCAUCACUACGGGGGAUAAAGUGAGAGCUUAAUCCUUACUUCUGCUUUCAAGGAACUUAUGAACCAGAAAGGAAGAGAAUGGAGAGAUGAACUCUAGCGCGGAGGUGUCAAGGGCUGUAGUCACAGGGCCAAAUGAGGGCACUACAGAGAGGUGAUUGGCCUCACUGGAGGUGUCAGGGGAAAUGUUCCAGGCAGAAGAAUCUAUUCCUAGCUAGGCUGGCCACGCAGUUUGUGGGGCCCAGUAGCUGAAAAUGUUCAUUCACCCAGAGACUAUGAAGACUCAAAAAAUAACAGCAAAUAUGGGCACUUCAAACCGAAGUUCCUUCCUCUGAAAGCUGUAGCACCCACAGUGGGAAAAUGAGCCCAGCCCGGCCUGGGCAUCAGUGCUAUUCGUCUCUUUUGAAGCAUUUUUAUAAUCUAAUUACAGUCCAAGGGAAUAGAUUUAAGUCAAUUUGGUGUGGUCCUGGUAGUUUUGGGGGGAACCGAGGACAUUGGGAAGG
This is a long non-coding RNA of Meriones unguiculatus (Mongolian gerbil), 1190 nucleotides long. RefSeq lists it as uncharacterized. The record is from RefSeq and is a predicted model, not a curated record. NCBI's taxonomy places the organism in Eukaryota, Metazoa, Chordata, Mammalia, Rodentia, Muridae. The transcript is spliced from 3 exons.